RNAcentral lists this ribosomal RNA (253 nucleotides) under uncultured bacterium. RNAcentral's name for it is "partial 16S ribosomal RNA". It matches the Rfam family "Bacterial small subunit ribosomal RNA", at positions 524 to 776 of the family's 1533-position model. The record is from RNAcentral.
UACGAAGGGGGCUAGCGUUGCUCGGAAUGACUGGGCGUAAAGGGCGCGUAGGCGGACGGCUUUGUCGGGCGUGAAAUUCCAGGGCUCAACCUUGGGGCUGCGUUCGAGACGGGUUGUCUAGAGUUUGGGAGAGGGUCGUGGAAUUCCCAGUGUAGAGGUGAAAUUCGUAGAUAUUGGGGAGAACACCAGUGGCGAAGGCGGCUUCCUGGUCUGCAACUGACGCUGUGGCGCGAAAGCUAGGGGAGCAAACGGG